Molecule: ribosomal RNA, 376 nt
Filed under: uncultured bacterium
Lineage: Bacteria
Description: bacterial SSU rRNA
Rfam family: Bacterial small subunit ribosomal RNA
Source: RNAcentral
UAAUACAGAGGGUGCAAGCGUUAUUCGGAAUCACUGGGCGUAAAGAGCUCGUAGGCGGUUAAUUAAGUCAUAUGUGAAAGCCCUGGGCUCAAUCCAGGAAGUGCAUCUGAUACUGAUUGACUGGAGUGCAGGAGAGGAAAGCGGAAUUCCAGGUGUAGAGGUGAAAUUCGUAGAUAUCUGGAGGAACAACAGAAGCGAAGGCGGCUUUCUGGACUGUCACUGACGCUGAGGAGCGAAAGCGUGGGGAGCAAACAGGAUUAGAUACCCUGGUAGUCCACGCUGUAAACGAUGGAUACUAGAUGUCGGGGGCCUUACCCCCUCGGUGUCGACGCUAACGCAUUAAGUAUCCCGCCUGGGGAGUACGGCCGCAAGGUUA